AGCGAACGCUGGCGGCAGGCCUAACACAUGCAAGUCGAACGGACCCUUCGGGGUUAGUGGCGGACGGGUGAGUAACACGUGGGAACGUGCCUUUAGGUUCGGAAUAGCUCCUGGAAACGGGUGGUAAUGCCGAAUGUGCCCUUCGGGGGAAAGAUUUAUCGCCUUUAGAGCGGCCCGCGUCUGAUUAGCUAGUUGGUGAGGUAAUGGCUCGCCAAGGCGACGAUCAGUAGCUGGUCUGAGAGGAUGACCAGCCACACUGGGACUGAGACACGGCCCAGACUCCUACGGGAGGCAGCAGUGGGGAAUCUUGCGCAAUGGGCGAAAGCCUGACGCAGCCAUGCCGCGUGAAUGAUGAAGGUCUUAGGAUUGUAAAAUCCUUUCACCGGGGACGAUAAUGACGGUACCCGGAGAAGAAGCCCCGGCUAACUUCGUGCCAGCCGCCGCCGUA
RNAcentral lists this ribosomal RNA (448 nucleotides) under uncultured bacterium. RNAcentral describes it as "partial 16S ribosomal RNA". It matches the Rfam family "Bacterial small subunit ribosomal RNA", at positions 29 to 522 of the family's 1533-position model. The record is from RNAcentral.